RNAcentral lists this long non-coding RNA (769 nucleotides) under Felis catus (domestic cat). RNAcentral describes it as "lncRNA (ENSFCAG00000040605.2)". Lineage: Eukaryota; Metazoa; Chordata; Mammalia; Carnivora; Felidae. The record is from RNAcentral.
CCAAUUUGAAAAUAAAAAUAUGAUUGUAGGUUUAGAAAUACUGAUUUUGAGAUGUUUUUGAUAAAUCCAAAAAGGUUUCAUUAGCAGUUGAACAUAAAGGCCUAGGUAGUAGAUGAGAGAUAGAGAUAAAUACACAUUGAGAAUUGUUUUCUUUUAAGGGGUAAUUGAAGAAGUGGGCAUGGGAAAAAACACAUGGUAACAAAGAAAAGAGGAAAGCUAGAAAUAAGUCUUAGAAAACUGUAACAUUAAUGGUAAGAUAUGAGGCUACAAAUAUAUUGGAAUUUUAAAUAAAUCUUAAGUUUUCAAACUUUUAAAUUUUAAUACAGGAUGUAGGACUGCUGUGUAUGGACAUCUUUGCAAAACACCAUUGCUACAGAAAGGGUUGAUAUAAUGUCUGGUUUGGAUCUCCUUGCUUCAUUCUUCAAGAGUCAUGACUCCAGGAAGGCUUUGAGAUUGCCGAAGCCACAGUGUGUAGGAUCUCCUGGGAAAAGGCAGCCCAAUCCUUGAAGAAAACAUCUAGACCUUUCCUUCCUGGACAAGAACCUGAAGUGACAAUAAUUCUCUUCACUAUUCAUGUUCUGAACACCAAAAUGCAAUGGCACAAAUACUGGAAUAAAGGAAUACGGGAAACAUUUCUUUGCUUUUAGAAAAUAAGUUCUGAAACACACACACACACAAAACAGAAUUUAAUGUGGUGAGUAGAACAACUGCUAAACUUUUGGUUUUGUUGCUAGAAGCAUAGUGCCCAGAGACAGCAGUUCCGGUCUUG